Molecule: ribosomal RNA, 589 nt
Filed under: Escherichia coli
Lineage: Bacteria; Pseudomonadati; Pseudomonadota; Gammaproteobacteria; Enterobacterales; Enterobacteriaceae
Description: bacterial SSU rRNA
Rfam family: Bacterial small subunit ribosomal RNA
Source: RNAcentral
UUAAAUUGAAGAGUUUGAUCAUGGCUCAGAUUGAACGCUGGCGGCAGGCCUAACACAUGCAAGUCGAACGGUAACAGGAAGCAGCUUGCUGCUUUGCUGACGAGUGGCGGACGGGUGAGUAAUGUCUGGGAAACUGCCCGAUGGAGGGGGAUAACUACUGGAAACGGUAGCUAAUACCGCAUAACGUCGCAAGACCAAAGAGGGGGACCUUAGGGCCUCUUGCCAUCGGAUGUGCCCAGAUGGGAUUAGCUAGUAGGUGGGGUAACGGCUCACCUAGGCGACGAUCCCUAGCUGGUCUGAGAGGAUGACCAGCCACACUGGAACUGAGACACGGUCCAGACUCCUACGGGAGGCAGCAGUGGGGAAUAUUGCACAAUGGGCGCAAGCCUGAUGCAGCCAUGCCGCGUGUAUGAAGAAGGCCUUCGAGUUGUAAAGUACUUUCGGCGGGGAGGAAGGGAGUAAAGUUAAUACAUUUGCUCAUUGACGUUACCCGCAGAAGAAGCACCGGCUAACUCCGUGCCAGCAGCCUCGGUAAUACGGAGGGUGCAAGCGUUAAUCGGAAUUACUGGGCGUAAAGCGCACGCAGGCG